Long non-coding RNA from Gasterosteus aculeatus aculeatus (three-spined stickleback), 868 nucleotides. NCBI's taxonomy places the organism in Eukaryota, Metazoa, Chordata, Actinopteri, Perciformes, Gasterosteidae. The record is from Ensembl.
CACCAGGCCGAGUGUGUAUUCAUCGCACAUAUUCUUUGACCCCAGAGAGCAUCAGUCCACUCCCUUUCUCCCUUUCCUCCCAACCGAGCCCCCGCUCUGAUCUAUUCCGGGGGGUGUUGUGGCUAGGAGGGUGUGUGAGUGCGUUUGCAGCCCUGCCCAGUAAAAUACAGACUUUCCAAGGAAGUCGGCAAUAUAAUAUGGCCGCUUUAUUAUGUUUCACCACACCAGGCGGCUCUAUCAGCUGGAUGCGAGUCCCCCUCGACAUUACAACCUGUCAAGAUUCCGCCGCCGUCGCACUGGAUGAAGUGUGAGAAAGGAGUUUGGGCACAAGGGAACAGAAGCAGACUGUUUGUGUCUAAAAACAAAUGUCUGUCCACUGCGCCCAAGCCAUAAUAAAGUCUGAGCUGCCCCAGCGAGGGAUCGCUUCCUGUCUGCUGUCACAGGGAGCGUGGUAACGGCGUUGUGACGGUGUGUCUUCACCCAUUGGGUCCAACUUGCACUGUAUUAAGAAGUAAGUAACCCGAACGCAUUAUUGCAUUCAUCCUUUUUGGUCAUGAUGGCAAUGAUGCAUUUCAAAGAUAUUUCUUUGUGAUCUGAUCAGCAAACAAACGUCUGUAUGGAGCCAAAUCCAGGUCAAAAGUUUUGUUCAUUUGAAAAACAAAUGUGAACCUAAAAGUUUAGGUUUUGUAUUUGAACGUUGAAAAAUACAACGCUGUAUUCAAAAUAAAAAUAAGUGAAAAUAUAAAAUCUGCAACCGAAAAAUAUAAUACAAUCAUAAAAGAAAUGUGAAGAUUGAAAAAGAUUGAAAAAGAAAUAUAGAGCUGAGUCAAAACUAUAUUCGUCCUGAAAAUAUUUUUCGUUUCUUAAA